This 205-nucleotide long non-coding RNA is filed under the name Elaeis guineensis (African oil palm). Its description in RNAcentral is "long non-coding RNA (EGUI_LNC027154)". Lineage: Eukaryota; Viridiplantae; Streptophyta; Magnoliopsida; Arecales; Arecaceae. The record is from RNAcentral.
CCCUCCCUCCCACAUUCACUCUUGGAUUGCUACCUCUGGGCAAUAAAUCACCAGCCAAGGUGAGAAUAUUCAGGUUAGUUUGGGAUAGAUGCCAAGCUGAGUAUCUAUGUAUUUGAGAUUUGAAAAUUUACAUCGGAUGGUAUAUCACCUUGAAGAUCAGUUGCUUCUAAUGUACUUGUCCUGACCUUCAUGUUAGGAAUAAGGG